AUAGGAACCACCUGGAAACUUUUUUCCCCGAAAACCACAUGCCUGGUCCCAACUCCUGACUCAGUAGGGGUGCGAAGGAUCCCCAUCAUGUGUAUUUCGAAAAAGCUCACCAGAGAAUUCUGCUGGAUGCCAAAGUUUGAACACUAGACCUUUAGAGAAGGGAGACUGAAUUUUGGCAAAUACUCAAGAUUACAUAAAGGCAGGGGGUGGAGAUGAGAAAAGAGCUCUCCCUAGCCUCCGUCUUGAGCCAUGAAAGUGUCACUGCCAGAGAGAGACUGUGCAGGAAUGAAGACACAAGUUACCACCAGACAAAUGACUGAAAGCAUCUUUUGACUCCGAGAAGCGACAUGCUUAGCUCCUCAGGCACGUGACUUGUUUCCUGGGAAACAGAUCAAGAGAUGGGGCCACCUAUUGGGCUUCAUGAAUAAGCCUAAUAGUUGAUCAUCAGCUUGACUUAUCUACAUCUGCUCACGGGCAGUGCUAAGAAGGACCCCCAAGUCCUAUAAUGAGGGCUUCCGGGCAGUCUUUUUCACAUCGAGGCUACAUUAUGGAUCACCUUCUUUUGCAUUGCUGUCUGUGAGCGUUGUUCUUUCUUUAAUUAAAUCCCUUGAGUGAAAGGAUCUUCCCAAUCAAACAAAUUCUGGAACUGUCUGCAGAGUUCAGGAGCACUGGGGUCGAGGAGGAAGCAGCGGCCUCUUCAACCCUGAGACCCUGAUGAAAGUGGCUGUCGUUGCUCUGUUAUGCAAAACACAAACAGGACAAACGGGGAAAAGGAGGAGAAAGACUCACUUUGACAAGAGAAAAUGCUCAAUUUAAUACUAAUGAAUGCCAAAUACCUUUUUAACAGUCUGAGAAAAAAAGCAAUAAAAGUAAAGAAUGCUAAUAUUUAUUGAACAAUGGUGAUGAGCUGGCAUUUUGCUAAAUCUUUUCCACCUUAGUCUUAAUCUUCUAAUAACCAUAUAAAAUAGGUAGCAUGGUUAUCCCCCUCAGAGAGUAGAAAACUGAGGCUUAAAGAGAUUGUAGGACUUGUCUAAAGUUAC
This 1040-nucleotide long non-coding RNA is filed under the name Equus caballus (horse). Its description in RNAcentral is "lncRNA (ENSECAG00000050792.1)". Lineage: Eukaryota; Metazoa; Chordata; Mammalia; Perissodactyla; Equidae. The record is from RNAcentral.